Molecule: ribosomal RNA, 497 nt
Filed under: uncultured bacterium
Lineage: Bacteria
Description: partial 16S ribosomal RNA
Rfam family: Bacterial small subunit ribosomal RNA
Source: RNAcentral
GAUGAACGCUGGCGGCGUGCCUAAUACAUGCAAGUCGAGCGAACAGACGAGGAGCUUGCUCCUCUGACGUUAGCGGCGGACGGGUGAGUAACACGUGGAUAACCUACCUAUAAGACUGGGAUAACUUCGGGAAACCGGAGCCAAUACCGGAUAAUAUAUUGAACCGCAUGGUUCAAUAGUGAAAGCCGGUUUUGCUGUCACUUAUAGAUGGAUCCCGGCCGCAUUAGCUAGUUGGUAAGGUAACGGCUUACCAAGGCGACGAUGCGUAGCCGACCUGAGAGGGUGAUCGGCCACACUGGAACUGAGACACGGUCCAGACUCCUACGGGAGGCAGCAGUAGGGAAUCUUCCGCAAUGGGCGAAAGCCUGACGGAGCAACGCCGCGUGAGUGAUGAAGGUCUUCGGAUCGUAAAACUCUGUUAUUAGGGAAGAACAAAUGUGUAAGUAACUAUGCACGUCUUGACGGUACCUAAUCAGAAAGCCACGGCUAACUACGUG